CAGUAGCCACGGGAAUACAGAGGGUGCAAGCGUUAAUCGGAAUUACUGGGCGUAAAGCGCGCGUAGGUGGUUUGUUAAGUUGGAUGUGAAAGCCCCGGGCUCAACCUGGGAACUGCAUCCAAAACUGGCAAGCUAGAGUACGGUAGAGGGUGGUGGAAUUUCCUGUGUAGCGGUGAAAUGCGUAGAUAUAGGAAGGAACACCAGUGGCGAAGGCGACCACCUGGACUGAUACUGACACUGAGGUGCGAAAGCGUGGGGAGCAAACAGGAUUAGAUACCCGCGUAGUCCCUGUCUCUUAUAC
Molecule: ribosomal RNA, 301 nt
Filed under: uncultured bacterium
Lineage: Bacteria
Description: partial 16S ribosomal RNA
Rfam family: Bacterial small subunit ribosomal RNA
Source: RNAcentral